Molecule: ribosomal RNA, 929 nt
Filed under: Escherichia coli
Lineage: Bacteria; Pseudomonadati; Pseudomonadota; Gammaproteobacteria; Enterobacterales; Enterobacteriaceae
Description: partial 23S ribosomal RNA
Rfam family: Bacterial large subunit ribosomal RNA
Source: RNAcentral
CGAAUACCGGAGAAUGUUAUCACGGGAGACACACGGCGGGUGCUAACGUCCGUCGUGAAGAGGGAAACAACCCAGACCGCCAGCUAAGGUCCCAAAGUCAUGGUUAAGUGGGAAACGAUGUGGGAAGGCCCAGACAGCCAGGAUGUUGGCUUAGAAGCAGCCAUCAUUUAAAGAAAGCGUAAUAGCUCACUGGUCGAGUCGGCCUGCGCGGAAGAUGUAACGGGGCUAAACCAUGCACCGAAGCUGCGGCAGCGACGCUGAUGCGUUGUUGGGUAGGGGAGCGUUCUGUAAGCCUGCGAAGGUGUGCUGUGAGGCAUGCUGGAGGUAUCAGAAGUGCGAAUGCUGACAUAAGUAACGAUAAAGCGGGUGAAAAGCCCGCUCGCCGGAAGACCAAGGGUUCCUGUCCAACGUUAAUCGGGGCAGGGUGAGUCGACCCCUAAGGCGAGGCCGAAAGGCGUAGUCGAUGGGAAACAGGUUAAUAUUCCUGUACUUGGUGUUACUGCGAAGGGGGGACGGAGAAGGCUAUGUUGGCCGGGCGACGGUUGUCCCGGUUUAAGCGUGUAGGCUGGUUUUCCAGGCAAAUCCGGAAAAUCAAGGCUGAGGCGUGAUGACGAGGCACUACGGUGCUGAAGCAACAAAUGCCCUGCUUCCAGGAAAAGCCUCUAAGCAUCAGGUAACAUCAAAUCGUACCCCAAACCGACACAGGUGGUCAGGUAGAGAAUACCAAGGCGCUUGAGAGAACUCGGGUGAAGGAACUAGGCAAAAUGGUGCCGUAACUUCGGGAGAAGGCACGCUGAUAUGUAGGUGAAGUCCCUCGCGGAUGGAGCUGAAAUCAGUCGAAGAUACCAGCUGGCUGCAACUGUUUAUUAAAAACACAGCACUGUGCAAACACGAAAGUGGACGUAUACGGUGUGACGCCUGCCCGGUGC